Molecule: ribosomal RNA, 273 nt
Filed under: Rhodosorus marinus
Lineage: Eukaryota; Rhodophyta; Stylonematophyceae; Stylonematales; Stylonemataceae
Description: partial Bacterial large subunit ribosomal RNA
Rfam family: Bacterial large subunit ribosomal RNA
Source: RNAcentral
GCUUGGUGGGUAGUUUGACUGGGGUGGUCGCCUCCAAAAGAGUAACGGAGGCUUCUAAAGGUACCCUCAGCACGCUUGGUAACCGUGCGUAGAGUGCAAUGGCAUAAGGGUGCUUGACUGAGAGACUUACAAGUCGAUCAGGUUGGAAACAAGAGCAUAGUGAUCCGGUGGUUCCGCAUGGAAGGGCCAUCGCUCAAAGGAUAAAAGGUACUCCCGGGAUAACAGGCUGAUCUCCCCCAAGAGCUCAUAUCGACGGGGAGGUUUGGCACCUCG